CCCGCUGAACUUAAGCAUAUCAAUAAGCGGAGGAAAAGAAAAUAACAAUGAUUCCCCUAGUAACGGCGAGUGAAGAGGGAAAAGCUCAAGUUUGGAAGCUUCGUGGCAUAGCUACGACGCGUUGUAAACUGAAGUUUUUUGGGUGAUUGGGCGACCGGAUAAAUAAGUCCUUUGGAAAAGGGCAACAUAGAGGGUGACAUUCCCGUCUUUGGUCCGAGUCAGUGCAGUCGCUACCCAGGAAACGACGAGUCAGGUUGUUUGGGAAUGCAGCCUAAAAUGGGAGGUAAAUCUCUCCUAAAGCUAAAUACUGGCGUAAGACCGAUAGCGAACAAGUACCGUGAGGGAAAGAUGAAAAGGACUUUGAAAAGAGGGUCAAAUAGUACGUGAAAUUGUUGAAAGGGAACCGUAUGAAAGUAGACUGGCUUGGUGAUGAUCAAUGUGUGUUUCGGCACGCAUGCACUCAUUGCCUUUGCCAGCCAGCGGCAGUUUUUGCUAAAGGAAGAAAAUCAGGGGAAUGUGGCUUCGAUUUCGGUUGAAGUGUUAUAGCUCCUGGUAAAAUACUUUGGCAGAGACUGAGGCUAGCAGUGGGUCUUUGGGAACUUUGCUCGCUUGUCGUCCAAUGAUCAAGUUUUCUUCGGAUGCUUGGUUAUUGGGUGGCAACUCGUGUGAUGCUUCACCCUCCCGCUUAGGUCGCUGGCGUAAUGCUUUUAUAUGACCCGUCUUGAAACACGG
This 732-nucleotide ribosomal RNA is filed under the name uncultured fungus. Its description in RNAcentral is "eukaryotic LSU rRNA". It matches the Rfam family "Eukaryotic large subunit ribosomal RNA", at positions 24 to 664 of the family's 3401-position model. Lineage: Eukaryota; Fungi. The record is from RNAcentral.